CCAAGGAGUCUAACAUGUGCGCGAGUCACUCAGUCUUGAAUAUGCUAGAGGGGCGAAGCGAAAGCAAUUUGGUGUGAUCGCGGGAAGGGUUUGUCCCCCUGCGCGCAACACCGGCCUGCCGUUUCUUACGCAGUCUUCGGGCUGUUCGGAUUCGCGCAGCGUCUGAGCGCAUACGUUGGUACCCGAAAGAUGGUGAACUAUGCCUGGGCAAGACGAAGCCAGAGGAAACUCUGGUGGAGGUCUGUAGCGAUUCUGACGUGCAAAUCGAUCGUCAGACCUGGGUAUAGGGGCGAAAGACUAAUCGAACCAUC
This 311-nucleotide ribosomal RNA is filed under the name Eupodes sp. AP-2010. Its description in RNAcentral is "eukaryotic LSU rRNA". It matches the Rfam family "Eukaryotic large subunit ribosomal RNA", at positions 666 to 944 of the family's 3401-position model. Lineage: Eukaryota; Metazoa; Arthropoda; Arachnida; Trombidiformes; Eupodidae. The record is from RNAcentral.